RNAcentral lists this ribosomal RNA (433 nucleotides) under uncultured bacterium. RNAcentral's name for it is "partial 16S ribosomal RNA". It matches the Rfam family "Bacterial small subunit ribosomal RNA", at positions 29 to 506 of the family's 1533-position model. The record is from RNAcentral.
AGCGAACGCUGGCGGCAGGCCUAACACAUGCAAGUCGAACGAACCUUUCGGGGUUAUUGGCGGACGGGUGAGUAACACGUGGGAACGUGCCCUUAGGUUCGGAAUAACUCAGGGAAACUUGUGCUAAUACCGAAUGUGCCCUUCGGGGGUAAGAUUUAUCGCCUUUAGAGCGGCCCGCGUCUGAUUCGCUAGUUGGUUGAGGUAAUGGCUCACCAAGGCGACGAUCAGUAGCUGGUCUGAGAGGAUGAUCAGCCACAUUGGGACUGAGACACGGCCCAAACUCCUACGGGAGGCAGCAGUGGGGAAUCUUGCGCAAUGGGCGAAAGCCUGAAGCAGCCAUGCCGCGUGAAUGAUGAAGGUCUUAGGAUUGUAAAAUUCUUUCACCGGGGACGAUAAGGACGGUACCCGGAGAAGAAGCCCCGGCAAACUUCGU